Long non-coding RNA from Hibiscus syriacus, 347 nucleotides. RefSeq lists it as uncharacterized. The transcript has 2 exons. The record is from RefSeq and is a predicted model, not a curated record. NCBI's taxonomy places the organism in Eukaryota, Viridiplantae, Streptophyta, Magnoliopsida, Malvales, Malvaceae.
AGAGAUACGCUUUACUCAGAGCAGGACGUUCAUAUGGAGCCACCUACAUGCAUAGUAAAGCAAAAGAAAAAAAGGGUAAUAUACAAUAUAAAUUUUAUCCCUUGGAAGGAACAAUAAAUAACAAAUGUAGCAGUUAAAAAGCAGAAUAAGAUAUUUUCAAAAGCUAAACAGUGUUCUCAGAAGUCAAUUAAGUGAUGCAAUCUUUUGCUUUUCUAAGCUCAAAUAAUAAUUAAAACAAAACAAUUGUUCAUGAUGAUAAAGAGUAUAGUCAUCCAAAAUGUAAAAUAUAAACGAAAUGGAUACAAUUCUAGUUAAUAGAUUGAGCAAUCAUUUGGUAAAGCAACGAU